GAUGAACGCUGGCGGCGUGCCUAAUACAUGCAAGUCGAGCGAACGGACGAGAAGCUUGCUUCUCUGAUGUUAGCGGCGGACGGGUGAGUAACACGUGGAUAACCUACCUAUAAGACUGGGAUAACUUCGGGAAACCGGAGCUAAUACCGGAUAAUAUUUUGAACCGCAUGGUUCAAAAGUGAAAGACGGUCUUGCUGUCACUUAUAGAUGGAUCCGCGCUGCAUUAGCUAGUUGGUAAGGUAACGGCUUACCAAGGCAACGAUGCAUAGCCGACCUGAGAGGGUGAUCGGCCACACUGGAACUGAGACACGGUCCAGACUCCUACGGGAGGCAGCAGUAGGGAAUCUUCCGCAAUGGGCGAAAGCCUGACGGAGCAACGCCGCGUGAGUGAUGAAGGUCUUCGGAUCGUAAAACUCUGUUAUUAGGGAAGAACAUAUGUGUAAGUAACUGUGCACAUCUUGACGGUACCUAAUCAGAAAGCCACGGCUAACUACGUGCCAGCAGCCGCGGUAAUACGUAGGUGGCAAGCGUUAUCCGGAAUUAUUGGGCGUAAAGCGCGCGUAGGCGGUUUUUUAAGUCUGAUGUGAAAGCCCACGGCUCAACCGUGGAGGGUCAUUGGAAACUGGAAAACUUGAGUGCAGAAGAGGAAAGUGGAAUUCCAUGUGUAGCGGUGAAAUGCGCAGAGAUAUGGAGGAACACCAGUGGCGAAGGCGACUUUCUGGUCUGUAACUGACGCUGAUGUGCGAAAGCGUGGGGAUCAAACAGGAUUAGAUACCCUGGUAGUCCACGCCGUAAACGAUGAGUGCUGAGUGUUAGGGGGUUUCCGCCCCUUAGUGCUGCAGCUAACGCAUUAAGCACUCCGCCUGGGGAGUACGACCGCAAGGUUGAAACUCAAAGGAAUUGACGGGGACCCGCACAAGCGGUGGAGCAUGUGGUUUAAUUCGAAGCAACGCGAAGAACCUUACCAAAUCUUGACAUCCUUUGACAACUCUAGAGAUAGAGCCUUCCCCUUCGGGGGACAAAGUGACAGGUGGUGCAUGGUUGUCGUCAGCUCGUGUCGUGAGAUGUUGGGUUAAGUCCCGCAACGAGCGCAACCCUUAAGCUUAGUUGCCAUCAUUAAGUUGGGCACUCUAAGUUGACUGCCGGUGACAAACCGGAGGAAGGUGGGGAUGACGUCAAAUCAUCAUGCCCCUUAUGAUUUGGGCUACACACGUGCUACAAUGGACAAUACAAAGGGCAGCGAAACCGCGAGGUCAAGCAAAUCCCAUAAAGUUGUUCUCAGUUCGGAUUGUAGUCUGCAACUCGACUACAUGAAGCUGGAAUCGCUAGUAAUCGUAGAUCAGCAUGCUACGGUGAAUACGUUCCCGGGUCU
Molecule: ribosomal RNA, 1372 nt
Filed under: uncultured bacterium
Lineage: Bacteria
Description: bacterial SSU rRNA
Rfam family: Bacterial small subunit ribosomal RNA
Source: RNAcentral